This 505-nucleotide ribosomal RNA is filed under the name uncultured bacterium. Its description in RNAcentral is "bacterial SSU rRNA". It matches the Rfam family "Bacterial small subunit ribosomal RNA", at positions 15 to 507 of the family's 1533-position model. The record is from RNAcentral.
GAUCAUGGCUCAGGAUGAACGCUAGCUACAGGCUUAACACAUGCAAGUCGAGGGGAAACGACAUCGAAAGCUUGCUUUUGAUGGGCGUCGACCGGCGCACGGGUGAGUAACGCGUAUCCAACCUGCCCACCACUUGGGGAUAACCUUGCGAAAGUAAGACUAAUACCCGAUGAUAUCCCUAGAAGACAUCUGAAAGGGAUUAAAGAUUUAUCGGUGAUGGAUGGGGAUGCGUCUGAUUAGCUUGUUGGCGGGGUAACGGCCCACCAAGGCGACGAUCAGUAGGGGUUCUGAGAGGAAGGUCCCCCACAUUGGAACUGAGACACGGUCCAAACUCCUACGGGAGGCAGCAGUGAGGAAUAUUGGUCAAUGGGCGAGAGCCUGAACCAGCCAAGUAGCGUGCAGGAUGACGGCCCUAUGGGUUGUAAACUGCUUUUAUAAGGGAAUAAAGUGAGUCUCGUGAGACUUUUUGCAUGUACCUUAUGAAUAAGGACCGGCUAAUUCCGUG